CAGUCGAACGGUGAUAGCAAUAUCAUAGUGGCGCACGGGUGCGUAACACGUAUGCAACCUACCUUAUACUGAGGGAUAGCCUUUCGAAAGGGAGAUUAAUACCUCGUAACACAUUGAACUGGCAUCAGUUUAUUGUUAAAGAUUUAUUGGUAUAAGAUGGGCAUGCGUCCAAUUAGUUAGUUGGCGAGGUAACGGCUCACCAAGACGAUGAUUGGUAGGGGAACUGAGAGGUUAAUCCCCCACACUGGCACUGAGAUACGGGCCAGACUCCUACGGGAGGCAGCAGUAGGGAAUAUUGGGCAAUGGAGGCAACUCUGACCCAGCCAUGCCGCGUGCAGGAAGAAGGCGUUAUGCGUUGUAAACUGCUUUUAUAUAGGAAGAAAUAGACCUUGCGAGGUAAGUUGACGGUACUAUAUGAAUAAGCACCGGCUAACUCCGUGCCAGCAGCCGCGGUAAUACGGAGGGUGCAAGCGUUGUCCGGAUUUAUUGGGUUUAAAGGGUGCGUAGGCGGUUUAUUAAGUCAGUGGUGAAAGACGGUCGCUCAACGAUUGCAGUGCCAUUGAUACUGGUAGACUUGAGUGGGAUUGAGGUAGCUGGAAUGGAUAGUGUAGCGGUGAAAUGCAUAGAUAUUAUCCAGAACACCAAUUGCGUUGGCAAGUUACUAAGUCACAACUGACGCUGAGGCACGAAAGUGUGGGUAUCAAACAGGAUU
Molecule: ribosomal RNA, 712 nt
Filed under: uncultured bacterium
Lineage: Bacteria
Description: bacterial SSU rRNA
Rfam family: Bacterial small subunit ribosomal RNA
Source: RNAcentral